Non-coding RNA from Araneus ventricosus, 76 nucleotides. The record is from the annotation of a GenBank genome assembly. Lineage: Eukaryota; Metazoa; Arthropoda; Arachnida; Araneae; Araneidae.
UGCAUCUGCCGGGAAUGGAGCCCUGGCCGCGCCGCCCAUGUGGGAGGCGAGCAUUCUACCACGGAACCACAGAUGU